GGGUUGUGAGGUUAAGCGACUAAGCGUACACGGUGGAUGCCCUGGCAGUCAGAGGCGAUGAAGGACGUGCUAAUCUGCGAUAAGCGUCGGUAAGGUGAUAUGAACCGUUAUAACCGGCGAUUUCCGAAUGGGGAAACCCAGUGUGUUUCGACACACUAUCAUUAACUGAAUCCAUAGGUUAAUGAGGCGAACCGGGGGAACUGA
RNAcentral lists this ribosomal RNA (204 nucleotides) under Escherichia coli. RNAcentral's name for it is "partial 23S ribosomal RNA". It matches the Rfam family "Bacterial large subunit ribosomal RNA", at positions 1 to 196 of the family's 2925-position model. The record is from RNAcentral. RNAcentral also lists the same sequence under 1 other name. Lineage: Bacteria; Pseudomonadati; Pseudomonadota; Gammaproteobacteria; Enterobacterales; Enterobacteriaceae.